Molecule: ribosomal RNA, 301 nt
Filed under: uncultured bacterium
Lineage: Bacteria
Description: partial 16S ribosomal RNA
Rfam family: Bacterial small subunit ribosomal RNA
Source: RNAcentral
CAGUCGCCACGGUAAUACAGAGGGUGCGAGCGUUAAUCGGAUUUACUGGGCGUAAAGCGUGCGUAGGCGGCUUCUUAAGUCGGAUGUGAAAUCCCUGAGCUUAACUUAGGAAUUGCAUUCGAUACUGGGAAGCUAGAGUAUGGGAGAGGAUGGUAGAAUUCCAGGUGUAGCGGUGAAAUGCGUAAAGAUCUGGAGGAAUACCGAUGGCGAAGGCAGCCAUCUGGCCUAAUACUGACGCUGAGGUACGAAAGCAUGGGGAGCAAACAGGAUUAGAUACCCCAGUAGUCCCUGUCUCUUAUAC